RNAcentral lists this ribosomal RNA (115 nucleotides) under Danio rerio (zebrafish). The record is from RNAcentral. Lineage: Eukaryota; Metazoa; Chordata; Actinopteri; Cypriniformes; Danionidae.
UACGGCAGCUAGCUCUCUGCAACUCUCACAUGGUCGCCCACUGAAGCUAAGCAGGGCUGUGCCCGGUCAGUACCUGGAUGGGAGACCACAUGGGAAAGCUAGGUUGCUGCCGGAA